Molecule: long non-coding RNA, 328 nt
Filed under: Mustela putorius furo (domestic ferret)
Lineage: Eukaryota; Metazoa; Chordata; Mammalia; Carnivora; Mustelidae
Description: lncRNA (ENSMPUG00000024049.1)
Source: RNAcentral
CUUUAUCACCCUGUUUCCCUGUACUUUACCGUAGGGGAAAAGUUAGACAAGAGAAAUACAUGACACAUCUUCCUGGCAUGGACUGCUAUGGGGAGUUCUUUGGAAAUACUGGAGAAGACAAGCCUCAAGUAGUUCGAAAAUGGAGCCCACUUCCUUCCCUGUGUUCCAGUAUCUCUUGGAAUUCUGUCCUAAACUCUAGCACAACUGGACUACACAUCUUGAGAAACCCAGUUGAAAUAGUAAAACUGUCUGUCUUUGGCUUCUACCGUGAUUUUUCUGGAAUCCUUAUAAAACUGGAGCAAUCACUUUUUAAUAAAAUUAUUAUAAA